Molecule: non-coding RNA, 190 nt
Filed under: uncultured Phascolarctobacterium sp.
Lineage: Bacteria; Bacillati; Bacillota; Negativicutes; Acidaminococcales; Acidaminococcaceae
Description: 6S / SsrS RNA
Rfam family: 6S / SsrS RNA
About the family: E. coli 6S RNA was the first non coding RNA to be sequenced, but its function was unknown until recently. It consists of 184 nucleotides that fold into an extended hairpin structure with a large single-stranded internal bulge.
Source: RNAcentral
UACCCUGCGCUGUUCGUAAGCUGCUCCUUAGGUUUUGAGCCAACACUCUUACCUAGGGAACCUGAUAGUCACGCUUAACAAAAACAUGCCUCCCUUCUUCGGAUUGCCAGUGGACUUUUGCGUUAAGCGGCAAGGUACCCACCUGCACAUGCAGGUUCAAAACACGGAGCUUUUACGGCACUGCGGGGUU